Molecule: transfer RNA, 74 nt
Filed under: Candidatus Calditenuis sp.
Lineage: Archaea; Thermoproteati; Nitrososphaerota; Candidatus Caldarchaeales; Candidatus Calditenuaceae
Also listed under: 1 other name
Description: tRNA-Arg
Rfam family: tRNA
About the family: Transfer RNA (tRNA) molecules are approximately 80 nucleotides in length. Their secondary structure includes four short double-helical elements and three loops (D, anti-codon, and T loops). Further hydrogen bonds mediate the characteristic L-shaped molecular structure. tRNAs have two regions of fundamental functional importance: the anti-codon, which is responsible for specific mRNA codon recognition, and the 3' end, to which the tRNAs corresponding amino acid is attached (by aminoacyl-tRNA synthetases). tRNAs cope with the degeneracy of the genetic code in two manners: having more than one tRNA (with a specific anti-codon) for a particular amino acid; and 'wobble' base-pairing, i.e. permitting non-standard base-pairing at the 3rd anti-codon position.
Source: RNAcentral
GGGCCCGUAGCUCAGCUGGAUAGAGCGUCGGCCUUCGGAGCCGGAGGUCCCGGGUUCGAGUCCCGGCGGGCCCG